This 407-nucleotide ribosomal RNA is filed under the name uncultured bacterium. RNAcentral's name for it is "bacterial SSU rRNA". It matches the Rfam family "Archaeal small subunit ribosomal RNA", at positions 719 to 1130 of the family's 1478-position model. The record is from RNAcentral.
ACUAAAUAGAUACCCCGGUAGUCCCAGCCGUAAACGAUGCUCGCUAGGUGUCAGGCAUGGCGCGACCGUGUCUGGUGCCGCAGGGAAGCCGUGAAGCGAGCCACCUGGGAAGUACGGCCGCAAGGCUGAAACUUAAAGGAAUUGGCGGGGGAGCACAACAACGGGUGGAGCCUGCGGUUUAAUUGGACUCAACGCCGGACAACUCACCGGGGGCGACAGCAAUAUGUAGGCCAAGCUGAAGACUUUGCCUGAAUCGCUGAGAGGAGGUGCAUGGCCGUCGCCAGUUCGUACUGUGAAGCAUCCUGUUAAGUCAGGCAACGAGCGAGACCCGUGCCCACUGUUACCAGCAUGUCCUCCGGGACGAUGGGUACUCUGUGGGGACCGCCUAUGUUAAAUAGGAGGAAGGU